GGCAUGGUGGCUCAGUGGUUAGAGCCGCGCCCGUCUCAUGAACGGGAGGUCGUGAGUUCGAACCCCGGCCGAGUCA
Molecule: transfer RNA, 76 nt
Filed under: Strongylocentrotus purpuratus (purple sea urchin)
Lineage: Eukaryota; Metazoa; Echinodermata; Echinoidea; Camarodonta; Strongylocentrotidae
Rfam family: tRNA
About the family: Transfer RNA (tRNA) molecules are approximately 80 nucleotides in length. Their secondary structure includes four short double-helical elements and three loops (D, anti-codon, and T loops).
Source: Rfam by way of RNAcentral